GUUUAAAUAGCUUAAGUAAGUAAAGCUUUUCAUUGAAGAUGAAAAAAUGAUAGUUUAUAUCUUUAAACA
RNAcentral lists this transfer RNA (69 nucleotides) under Fenusa (Kaliofenusa) sp. 1 GYN-2022b. RNAcentral's name for it is "tRNA-Phe". It matches the Rfam family "tRNA". From Rfam's summary of the family: Transfer RNA (tRNA) molecules are approximately 80 nucleotides in length. The record is from RNAcentral. Lineage: Eukaryota; Metazoa; Arthropoda; Insecta; Hymenoptera; Tenthredinidae.